Molecule: ribosomal RNA, 468 nt
Filed under: uncultured bacterium
Lineage: Bacteria
Description: partial 16S ribosomal RNA
Rfam family: Bacterial small subunit ribosomal RNA
Source: RNAcentral
GACGAACGCUGGCGGCGUGCUUAACACAUGCAAGUCGAACGGAAAGGCCCUGCUUUUGUGGGGUGCUCGAGUGGCGAACGGGUGAGUAACACGUGAGUAACCUGCCCUUGACUUUGGGAUAACUUCAGGAAACUGGGGCUAAUACCGGAUAGGAGCUCCUGCUGCAUGGUGGGGGUUGGAAAGUUUCGGCGGUUGGGGAUGGACUCGCGGCUUAUCAGCUUGUUGGUGGGGUAGUGGCUUACCAAGGCUCUGACGGGUAGCCGGCCUGAGAGGGUGACCGGCCACAUUGGGACUGAGAUACGGCCCAGACUCCUACGGGAGGCAGCAGUGGGGAAUAUUGCACAAUGGGCGGAAGCCUGAUGCAGCAACGCCGCGUGCGGGAUGACGGCCUUCGGGUUGUAAACCGCUUUCGCCUGUGACGAAGCGUGAGUGACGGUAAUGGGUAAAAAAGCACCGGCUAACUACGUG